RNAcentral lists this long non-coding RNA (296 nucleotides) under Capsicum annuum. RNAcentral's name for it is "long non-coding RNA (CANN_LNC008315)". Lineage: Eukaryota; Viridiplantae; Streptophyta; Magnoliopsida; Solanales; Solanaceae. The record is from RNAcentral.
UAUAUAUAUAUAGUGUGUACCAUGCACACAGUUAUAUAGACCUCCGCCUGGCAAAUGUGGUUUCUAGUAUUGUCCCUUCUUGGAACUCCACCUUCACAGUGAGCUCUGCAAUUCUCUUUUAUUCCAAACUAAAAUAGUUUACACAUAAACCCAACUAUUAACCAAAGAAUCAUUCAUUAAGGCAUUUACCAACAUGGUAUCAUCAUACCAGCUAUGCUUGCAAGCUUAUAUAAUUAUGCCAACUAAUCCAAUUAACCAUUAGACUCUCAAGUUCCAUUUAAUUUCCAAAACCAUGG